Dermacentor albipictus is the source of this 664-nucleotide long non-coding RNA. RefSeq lists it as uncharacterized. The record is from RefSeq and is a predicted model, not a curated record. NCBI's taxonomy places the organism in Eukaryota, Metazoa, Arthropoda, Arachnida, Ixodida, Ixodidae.
CGGAUUCAUUCGUUCGUACACUCAAGACUGGUUGCUUCUUUGUUUCUAAAACUAGUUUCUUGCGCUUCUAUGUAACUUGGGGUGAAGUUACGUGUUUGCAAGCGGACAUGUAAGCCCGGCAGUUGGUUUUCGGUCGUGAGCCAUUCGGAACAGGUCUGCAUCGAAACGGGAGCUGGAUUUUGCUGCGGCUGACAACGGCAAUAACGACAUGCAGUAAUGACGACGGCACCAGUAUAAAGCAACACACUCCACGCACUAAACAGAAGCUGCUGCCUGCUACGACAAGGUCAUUGUGUGGACAUUGGCUACUACUACAAGAGUCUAUGCCAAGCACAUCUUGGUCAUCACAGGAGCUCCUAUCUGCACCAACAGGAAGGGGCUGGAGCCGAAUUUGCAAGGCUUUUACACCAAGAACAAAGAAGAACAUGCACAAGAAUAUGGAUGAGAUAUCAAGUCUGCAAAGGACUGUGUUAAGACUGCAAAGAGCUUCAGCCACCAUUCCACCAGCACGGACAUUUGGCUGAGUCAUCCAAGUAACUCAAAAAGGACUUUCUAGAAAUUCUUCGUCUUCAGAUGCACCUGCAACAUCUGACCAAGCACGGACGACGCUGGCCAAAAGAUUGAGUUUCAUCAGUUCGUCCUUAAUCAGCUUCCAAGCCAUGUU